UUCAGAAGGAAUGGUACCGGCUCCUUUUUGUACCUCUGGUGCAAUUCUUUCAGCCCUGUUUUACAGCUCACAGAGGUUAAUUAAUUGACCAGUGCCUCUGAUCUGGAAAGUGAUGGACUCAGGCUGAUAGCACAGGCAGCCUGACUCCACAGCUCAACUAUUAAACACUACUCUCAUCACCCCACAUGGCCUGAAUUUUCUGCUCCUGAAUUCAAACAUUAAAAUGGUGGUAUAUCAGUACUGGGAUUUAUGAGGACAAUGUGAUUAAUUUAAAUGCCUUUUGGAGCAAAUAGGAAGUAUCUUAUUCCAAUUUUUUGAAGAUAAAGUGCAUGGUCCUGAACACAACAGAGGUGGUUACAAGAAGAAAUAAAAUGUUGGCUGGCAGAAGCAGCAGGGAGGAAGAUUUCAUAUUGAAGACUAACUAGUUCUGAGACGUUUUGGAUGUCUUCUUGCAAACAAAACAGAAUGCAACUGAGGAAAUGGCUGUUGCAAUUCAGCAAGCUUUCUGUUUUUCUCAUGCAUGAGAAAAAUGCAUUUCAGCUGAAAACAGUAUUAUGAAGGAGAAGUACUUCAAAAUAAAACACUUUACUCAACCCAAAAGACUUACUAUAAGUUCUCAAACAGUAGCUGCCACUUCCAGCUGGGAGAGAAAUGAGAGCUCUGUUCAUGGUGAUUCAGUAUCUCCAGAAUCCAUCACCACUGCUGACCUCCCACUCCAUGUCUCCAAGUGCUCUGCUAUAUCUGCCACCAGCACCUGCCACGUCCAGACUUUGGAAGGUUAUAAUAAAACCUCUGUUCUACGAUCUGCCUUCUGCUUCGACAUCCUCACUCCCCACAAACAAUUCUAAUAAACAGCAAU
This 859-nucleotide long non-coding RNA is filed under the name Pongo abelii (Sumatran orangutan). Its description in RNAcentral is "lincRNA". Lineage: Eukaryota; Metazoa; Chordata; Mammalia; Primates; Hominidae. The record is from RNAcentral.